GUGUGACUGCGUACCUUUUGUAUAAUGGGUCAGCGACUUAUAUUCUGUAGCAAGGUUAACCGAAUAGGGGAGCCGAAGGGAAACCGAGUCUUAACUGGGCGUUAAGUUGCAGGGUAUAGACCCGAAACCCGGUGAUCUAGCCAUGGGCAGGUUGAAGGUUGGGUAACACUAACUGGAGGACCGAACCGACUAAUGUUGAAAAAUUAGCGGAUGACUUGUGGCUGGGGGUGAAAGGCCAAUCAAACCGGGAGAUAGCUGGUUCUCCCCGAAAGCUAUUUAGGUAGCGCCUCGUGAAUUCAUCUCCGGGGGUAGAGCACUGUUUCGGCAAGGGGGUCAUCCCGACUUACCAACCCGAUGCAAACUGCGAAUACCGGAGAAUGUUAUCACGGGAGACACACGGCGGGUGCUAACGUCCGUCGUGAAGAGGGAAACAACCCAGACCGCCAGCUAAGGUCCCAAAGUCAUGGUUAAGUGGGAAACGAUGUGGGAAGGCCCAGACAGCCAGGAUGUUGGCUUAGAAGCAGCCAUCAUUUAAAGAAAGCGUAAUAGCUCACUGGUCGAGUCGGCCUGCGCGGAAGAUGUAACGGGGCUAAACCAUGCACCGAAGCUGCGGCAGCGACGCUUAUGCGUUGUUGGGUAGGGGAGCGUUCUGUAAGCCUGCGAAGGUGUGCUGUGAGGCAUGCUGGAGGUAUCAGAAGUGCGAAUGCUGACAUAAGUAACGAUAAAGCGGGUGAAAAGCCCGCUCGCCGGAAGACCAAGGGUUCCUGUCCAACGUUAAUCGGGGCAGGGUGAGUCGACCCCUAAGGCGAGGCCGAAAGGCGUAGUCGAUGGGAAACAGGUUAAUAUUCCUGUACUUGGUGUUACUGCGAAGGGGGGACGGAGAAGGCUAUGUUGGCCGGGCGACGGUUGUCCCGGUUUAAGCGUGUAGGCUGGUUUUCCAGGCAAAUCCGGAAAAUCAAGGCUGAGGCGUGAUGACGAGGCACUACGGUGCUGAAGCAACAAAUGCCCUGCUUCCAGGAAAAGCCUCUAAGCAUCAGGUAACAUCAAAUCGUACCCCAAACCGACACAGGUGGUCAGGUAGAGAAUACCAAGGCGCUUGAGAGAACUCGGGUGAAGGAACUAGGCAAAAUGGUGCCGUAACUUCGGGAGAAGGCACGCUGAUAUGUAGGUGAAGUCCCUCGCGGAUGGAGCUGAAAUCAGUCGAAGAUACCAGCUGGCUGCAACUGUUUAUUAAAAACACAGCACUGUGCAAACACGAAAGUGGACGUAUACGGUGUGACGCCUGCCCGGUGCCGGAAGGUUAAUUGAUGGGGUCAGCGCAAGCGAAGCUCUUGAUCGAAGCCCCGGUAAACGGCGGCCGUAACUAUAACGGUCCUAAGGUAGCGAAAUUCCUUGUCGGGUAAGUUCCGACCUGCACGAAUGGCGUAAUGAUGGCCAGGCUGUCUCCACCCGAGACUCAGUGAAAUUGAACUCGCUGUGAAGAUGCAGUGUACCCGCGGCAAGACGGAAAGACCCCGUGAACCUUUACUAUAGCUUGACACUGAACAUUGAGCCUUGAUGUGUAGGAUAGGUGGGAGGCUUGGAAGUGUGGACGCCAGUCUGCAUGGAGCCGACCUUGAAAUACCACCCUUUAAUGUUUGAUGUUCUAACGUUGACCCGUAAUCCGGGUUGCGGACAGUGUCUGGUGGGUAGUUUGACUGGGGCGGUCUCCUCCUAAAGAGUAACGGAGGAGCACGAAGGUUGGCUAAUCCUGGUCGGACAUCAGGAGGUUAGUGCAAUGGCAUAAGCCAGCUUGACUGCGAGCGUGACGGCGCGAGCAGGUGCGAAAGCAGGUCAUAGUGAUCCGGUGGUUCUGAAUGGAAGGGCCAUCGCUCAACGGAUAAAAGGUACUCCGGGGAUAACAGGCUGAUACCGCCCAAGAGUUCAUAUCGACGGCGGUGUUUGGCACCUCGAUGUCGGCUCAUCACAUCCUGGGGCUGAAGUAGGUCCCAAGGGUAUGGCUGUUCGCCAUUUAAAGUGGUACGCGAGCUGGGUUUAGAACGUCGUGAGACAGUUCGGUCCCUAUCUGCCGUGGGCGCUGGAGAACUGAGGGGGGCUGCUCCUAGUACGAGAGGACCGGAGUGGACGCAUCACUGGUGUUCGGGUUGUCAUGCCAAUGGCACUGCCCGGUAGCUAAAUGCGGAAGAGAUAAGUGCUGAAAGCAUCUAAGCACGAAACUUGCCCCGAGAUGAGUUCUCCCUGACUCCUUGAGAGUCCUGAAGGAACGUUGAAGACGACGACGUUGAUAGGCCGG
This 2293-nucleotide ribosomal RNA is filed under the name Escherichia coli. Its description in RNAcentral is "partial 23S ribosomal RNA". It matches the Rfam family "Bacterial large subunit ribosomal RNA", at positions 591 to 2864 of the family's 2925-position model. The record is from RNAcentral. Lineage: Bacteria; Pseudomonadati; Pseudomonadota; Gammaproteobacteria; Enterobacterales; Enterobacteriaceae.